Molecule: long non-coding RNA, 1707 nt
Filed under: Cricetulus griseus (Chinese hamster)
Lineage: Eukaryota; Metazoa; Chordata; Mammalia; Rodentia; Cricetidae
Description: lncRNA (ENSCGRG00015037540.1)
Source: RNAcentral
CCUCCAGCGUCGGGAUGUGAGCCACCAGCAAGGAGGGACACCAAUAAGGCGUCUGAUAAGAUAAUGAAAAUUAUCAUCACUAUUCCUUCUGCAAGUCCCCAGAUUGAAGGUUCAAGAGUAACACCCCAGAAGACUGUCUUUGCUGGCAAGGAAUUUAUUUGGAGCAGUUUCCACUUGAAACUUGAAGUAGCUGCUUCAAGAUGAGGCUGAUCCAGUAAGAACCCUUUGUAACAGCCAUUUCCUCCUGCUGUGUAUUUGCUGCCAUUGCGAGUCCUUUGGAGUAUUUUACCUGGAGUGCUGUUAAUGUUCUUCAAAAUAUGACCUGUCCAUCAGAUGUGGCUAAAUGAAACUAUCACAAAAACUAAAUCUACAGAUUCAACAAAUAUCAAGCAUCAGCUUGGAGAGUAAUGCACUGAGUUAUAAGAAUAAGUUGAUAAAUUUAUCAAUUGUCUCAUUUAUAUGUGUCGCAAUCUGAUUUGUAGGAAACCCAUGAAUUGGUUCUGAUAUAUAUAUAUAUAUAUAUAUAUAUAUAUAUAUAUAUAUAUAUUCACAUUUCUAUGAAUAAGUUAGGACCUCCCAAUCUAUCCUGGAUAUCCAGUCUAAGUGAAUCCAUGAGGAGGAUACUCUUUCCAACAAUAUCUUGAUACAUACAAGAAGUACUUCUAGUCUCAAGAACGUAUUAUAACAGCUAGGAAGAAUUCAACAAAACGUUGCUAAUAUGCACCUCUUUAUUUACCUGAGUUGAAACAUCUAUACUGAUUCAAACACACUUCAUUUUUAAACUGCACAAAGCAUGAAGUCCUAGCCUGGUAACUUGAAAUUGGAUUCUUCAGCAACAGAAUCCACUGGCUUUUAGUUCACAUCAUAAUCAGUGUGCUGUGUUCCUCACAAGGUGGUCUUUUAUCUGUUAUGUAACAUUCAUCCUACUGAACAUUAAAUAUUGCAUGGCAUAUCAAGCAAUCUGACUGGAACAAUUACUGGUGCUAUACACAUUCCAGGGUCUCUAUUUGUCAAAAAGUUAAUAUUUUUAAAGAUAAAAUGACUUUAAUAUAUAUAUAUGUGUGUGUGUGUGUGUGUAUGUGUGUGUGUGUGUAUAGUCUCCUAAUUAGCUGGCAGUCAGUGCUCAACUUCUGAUUUUAGCUCUGCAGGGUCCUUGUAGAUGUUAUUAUUGCAAAGAGAAAUCAAAAAUCAAAGUGAAUCCUUAGUGUCACUCUUGAAGCAAUAGAGGUGCAAUUGCUGAAAUAGCAGCCAAGCAUUGUGCAAUACAACUAACUCACAGCUUGGUGCAAUGUCCCCACUGAGAGGGAAAUGUAGGGGAACUGCCAGAGUUUUACUACAUCUGCUCCCUGCUGCUAAUGAGCUUUAACCUGUUUCAUUCUUAUUAUGCUUACUGUUUAGAUAUUUUGCUUGCAAAAUUAAUUCUAUAGCUGGGAGAACACUUGAGAGAGGAUAUGAUUUGUAAUAUAGGUCUGUUUAAAAAUUGGAAAGUAUCAGCAAGGGAGAUUAAAGGCUCUAAUGAGUGAUGUGUUACUUAAUAUCAAUUCAAGGACAUAAACUCAGGUGGUACAACUAAUGCUGUUUCUCAGUUUUUUGUCCUCCUGAGAUAUGGGCUGAUGCUGUAGGAGACAUUGUCUUUGUUCUGCAUUCGACAUCUGCACUGGGUGUGUGUGUGUGUGUGUGUGUGUGUCUGUCUGUCUGUCUGUCUGU